Molecule: long non-coding RNA, 1067 nt
Organism: Mesocricetus auratus (golden hamster)
Lineage: Eukaryota; Metazoa; Chordata; Mammalia; Rodentia; Cricetidae
Exons: 2
Source: RefSeq, a predicted model, not a curated record
GGGAAAGGUAACAUCCAAGUUGUGUACCAUCCUGAGCAGUCUGAUGAAGUCUUUAACUGACCUCCAUCCCAUCCUACCCUAUCAGAUGCUGUCUUUCCCUGGACACAGGUCGUGUCCAGUGCCUACACUGCUUGCUGCUCACUAAGAGCCUGUCUUCACUCUUAAUCAGCUCUCUUGCUGUCACACUCUGUGUUCAAGGAACCUUCACUCACAGAGUAGGAGUGCCAAGGGAGUCUGGAGAGGUCAAAGGAAAGCCAAGAAAGCUGAAAGAGAAUGCUUCUUCUCAUUGAGAAAUUCAAAGAUCCCAGUAAGAAAAACAAUCACAUGUGAAGUUUGCUGAGCUCUCAGCAAGAACAACCUUUCUAACGGAAGUUUUAAGCAGGAGAAAAUGCGUACAAUUCGACGCUGACGCUGCAGUGCCUUGGAGGUGAUCGGCAAAGGCAUCAGUAUCAUUGGGGGAGAUGUGAAGAAAACAGUCCCCUGACUGCUGCUGUCCCUCCAUGCUGAGCUGAGUCUGAGACUUAGGGAUUCCCUGGAACAAGAGACACCUCCACACCCGAGAGCAAGCAUUGCAUCAUGAGACAGAUUCUUGGAACUAAGAUGUGGUAAAGAAAGCAGGAGACAAUGGAGAGAGGUUGUAUUCCACGACUGGUAAGACGUGUCCAAGGACCAGCAAGAGGUCAGCUUCAAAGAGUGCCCACGGCACAGGUCUAACGCUUCAUCCUCCAACCUAUGGCAGAAGGGGAGAGAUGACUUCUGAAAGUUGUCCCCUGACCUUUACAUCUGCGCUGUGGGUGGACACACCCUCAGACCCACGUCACACACACUAAAGGAGUUACUAGAGCAGCAGGACGCAAGCAGCAUACUUGUGUGCAAUGGUCUGUGAGCUAAUUGUUUCUGAGGAGCAAAAAACAAAACAGAAUGGGGAGGGAAAAAGCAACCCAGAUAGUAGCAUCUCGUAUGAGCCAUCAGUUGAGCCGUUGCUAUGUUAGUAAGAGACGCUUUGGGGUUUUUCUGCCCUGUGUUGCUGUAGUUACUGUCCACAGAAUCAUGCGACUGUCUACUCA